AAAACUAACCGUUAAAUCAAGAUGAGGCUCUUGCUCCCAUUCGCCUCGCCGUUAUCCGCCACGUCACCGCCGUCAUUACCUGAACAUCCACCGCCGUCUAAAAUCGAAUUCUCCGGUCUAACUAAAAUUUUUAAAAAAUCGGCAAUCGGAACACUAACCGGAGCUCUCACGCUCACUCUCGUACUAUCGUCGCCGAUUCCCUCCGUCGCUGCUUCCAUCGAUCCUUACCUAUCUAUGACUCCGCCUUCAUUAUCUCCUGAUUCUUCUCCGGAAGAUUGCCCUAACGAGGAAGGAGCUGAUACUGAGGUGCUAGAAGAUGACGUCAGGCCUCAGUUAGUAACUAACGAAGGGAUUGUUGAAGAGGCGUGGGAGAUUGUUAACGACGCCUUUAUCGAUGCUCGAAGCAAUAGAUGGAGUCCUGAGACUUGGCAGAAACAGAAGGAAGAGAUAUUGAGUAUUCCAAUUAAGAGUAGAUCAAAGGCUCAUGAAGUGAUUAAGAAAAUGCUGGCUAGUUUGGGUGAUCAGUACACUCGCUUUCUCUCACCAGAUGAGUUCUCCAGGAUGUCCAAGUAUGACAUUACCGGUAUUGGAAUAAACCUUAGAGAAGUUUCUGAUGGUGGUGGAAAUGUAAAGCUGAAGGUCCUUGGUCUUGUGUUGGACGGUCCUGCUGACAUUGCUGGCGUGAAACAGGGAGAUGAGAUUCUUGCUGUCAAUGGAGUUGAUGUUAGUGGGAAAUCAUCAUUUGAAGUAUCAUCUUUGUUACAAGGCCCUAGUAAAACUUUUGUGGUCCUCAAGGUGAAGCAUGGAAAAUGUGGACCUCUUAGGUCAAUUAAAGUCCAGAGACAAGUUAAUGCGCAGACUCCAGUCUCUUAUCGUCUGGAGAAAGUUGACAACGGGAGAAUCUCUGUCGGGUAUAUCCGUCUAAAAGAGUUCAAUGCCUUGGCUAGAAAAGAUUUGGUGAUUGCAAUGAAACGACUCCAGGACAAGGGUGCAUCUUAUUUCGUAAUGGAUCUUCGAGAUAACCUUGGUGGACUUGUGCAGGCUGGAAUAGAAACUGCUAAGCUGUUCCUAGAUGAAGGGGAUACGGUGAUAUACACAGCCGGGAGAGAUACGGAGACUCAAAAGAUAGUUGUUGCAGAUAAAAAACCAUUGAUCACUGCCCCUCUUAUUGUAUGUGAUUGAUCAUGUAAUGGUAAAUAACAGAACAGCAAGUGCUAGUGAAAUUGUGGCCUCUGCACUUCAUGAUAACUGUAAAGCAAUUCUUGUGGGCGAAAGAACUUAUGGAAAGGGUUUGAUUCAAUCGGUGUUCGAGCUCCGGGAUGGUUCAGGAGUUGUUGUGACAAUAGGAAAGUAUGUCACACCAAACCAUAUAGACAUCAAUGGUGGUGGAAUUGAACCUGAUUUCAGAAACUUACCAGCUUGGGGGGAAGUAAAAGAACUUUUGUCUAAGUGCAACACUCUCCAACAAAGCUGAAACGUGAUGACAUUCAUCAGACUAUCUCCUGUUGUUUUUUCCCCAAACUACAGACAAAAGCAAACGAUUUGCGUCUUUGGGUAUACACACAAGCCUAUCUAAAUUUUUGGGUGUGUCGAAAAUUUGAAGAAACAUGUGGGGUGCAAUUGAUAUUUUUACAAAAUUGCAAGGGCUGUUUGAUAAUAGUAUUAUUCAUGUGAAAUUACGCUGCCAAACUUUGGACGUUUCAAAAGAAAAGAGAAGAAACUUUUUGGCUGUGGAUUAA
Molecule: RNA transcript, 1739 nt
Organism: Brassica oleracea var. oleracea
Lineage: Eukaryota; Viridiplantae; Streptophyta; Magnoliopsida; Brassicales; Brassicaceae
Gene name: carboxyl-terminal-processing peptidase 1, chloroplastic
Exons: 11
Source: RefSeq, a predicted model, not a curated record